AAUAGAUACCCUGGUAGUCCACGCCGUAAACGGUGGGCACUAGAUGUGGGGCUCUUUCCAUGAGUUCCGCGUCGCAGCUAACGCAUUAAGUGCCCCGCCUGGGGAGUACGGCCGCAAGGCUAAAACUCAAAGGAAUUGACGGGGGCCCGCACAAGCGGCGGAGCAUGCGGAUUAAUUCGAUGCAACGCGAAGAACCUUACCAAGGCUUGACAUAUACGGUCUAUCCCUAGAGAUAGGGAGUGCUUCGGCGCCGUAUACAGGUGGUGCAUGGUUGUCGUCAGCUCGUGUCGUGAGAUGUUGGGUUAAGUCCCGCAACGAGCGCAACCCUCGUCCUAUGUUGCCAGCGGAUAAUGCCGGGGACUCAUGGGAGACUGCCGGGGUCAACUCGGAGGAAGGUGGGGAUGAGGUCAAAUCAUCAUGCCCCUUAUGUCUUGGGCUUCACGCAUGCUACAAUGGCCGGUACAAAGGGCUGCAAUACCGCGAGGUGGAGCGAAUCCCAAAAAGCCGGUCUCAGUUCGGA
RNAcentral lists this ribosomal RNA (520 nucleotides) under uncultured bacterium. Its description in RNAcentral is "bacterial SSU rRNA". It matches the Rfam family "Bacterial small subunit ribosomal RNA", at positions 777 to 1297 of the family's 1533-position model. The record is from RNAcentral.